GUGGAUGAGGCAUGCAAGUCGAACGAGAGUUGGAGCAAUCCAACUUUAGUGGCGAAAGGGUUAGUAAUGCAUGGGUAACUUGCCUUUAACAUUGGGAUAACGUCUGGAAACGAGCGCUAAUACCGAAUGAGAUGGGAUGUGGCAUCACAUCCUUAUCAAAGUUGGGGAUCUAGAAAUAGACCUUGCGGUUAGAGAGAGGCCCAUGAGGUAUCAGCUAGUUGGUGAGGUAAAAGCUUACCAAGGCAAAGACGUCUAGGCGGAUUGAGAGAUUG
Molecule: ribosomal RNA, 272 nt
Filed under: uncultured Chlamydiales bacterium
Lineage: Bacteria; Pseudomonadati; Chlamydiota; Chlamydiia; Chlamydiales
Description: partial 16S ribosomal RNA
Rfam family: Bacterial small subunit ribosomal RNA
Source: RNAcentral